This is a long non-coding RNA of Numida meleagris (helmeted guineafowl), 5694 nucleotides long. RefSeq lists it as uncharacterized. The record is from RefSeq and is a predicted model, not a curated record. Lineage: Eukaryota; Metazoa; Chordata; Aves; Galliformes; Numididae. The transcript is spliced from 3 exons.
AGCAAAGAUUACCACCUAACAUUUCAUGCUUGUCAGGAAAGCAUUUCCUGCAAAACGCUUACAAAUGAGCCCCUUCUCAAGUCUUGACUGAAAUGCAUUAUGCAGAAAUCUGACAGCUGCUCAGCACAAUUUGCAAGCUGCAGAGAAUUCAAAAUAGUCUUACAUGUCUAGGCAGAAAUUCACUUACAGCAUGGAGGUUAGGUACAUUAUUUGCACCGUAUCAGCCCAUGUUGUGUUUAAUUAAGAUAUGGUAAGCAUCACUGGGUUAUCUUUGAUAGCUAAGAAUUUUUUGCUCCAGGUGUAACAUAUUUGCAGUUAAUGAGUCUGAUUUUUUUGUUUUUCUUCCCUCUUCCUUUCUUGCUCUUUGUAAAAACCUAAUAGGCUGUCAAAUCUUUUAUUAUUUUUCUUGAAGGAGCCUUCUGUUGGAUGUAUAUCAUUAUCUUAGUACAGAUACAUUCGUCAACUUCAUUCAUGGUAACUGGCUCAUAUGAACGGAGUAGGUUUUACUACAUAUGUAAUGUGUAUUACAGUUAAUCUCACAGCAGGUAUAAAUUAAUAUCUGAUGUGAGGACAACAGAAAAUGCCCUCAAAAGAAAUCGAUCAACAUGUAUUUGAACAGACAGAAAUGAAAUCUAAGUUAAAACAGCCAAAACCUUAGCAAGAAAUAGCAGGAAAAAAAAACCCAAAUAAUUAAAACAGAAACAAUGUUUAUUUGUACUUGUUAUCAAAGAUGAAUGAUUUUAUAAACUAAGGUAAAACAGUAAAUCAAACACAAAUAAAGUAAAACUGUAUUAUAUUAUAAAAAUUCAAAAUGUCACCUUAAACUCACAAUGAAGUGGCCUAACAAAAGCAGUGGAGAAAAAGAGAAGACAGUAAAAUGCUCUGCUAUACCAAAAAUGGAUCAAGCCACUGCCUGAAUUUUUUAGUGCAAGCAUUUGCUGAGGUGCUAUGCAGAUAUCUUUCUCCCUUCUUCUAUUUUUCUUCUAUCUACAUACACUUUUAAAGUGCAACUUCUCUUAAGAAGAAAACGUCCAUCAUUUUUUUUAAAAGCCCCUGAGAUAAGAACAACAGUAGGAAUUAAAAAGGGAUAAAUCAUCAUAUAGAGUAUACACAAGGAGAAAGCACUGAAACUAUCAAACUUAAAACAGCUGCUUAAAUACAAAACAAAAUGACAGAUUUAGCUAGUUAUUAUAUUUCCUUCACUCUGUUUUAUAUGGUUUGUCUGCUCAGGAUAAGAUUUAACUCACUCAGAACCUUAACCAUUCUGAUUUCUAGGGUCUAUUUGGGGACUUUUCAGAAGAAUCCUUGAGGGAAAGGAAAAGCAUGUGUUCAUCUUGUAAUGGAUCAUAUCUGAAAAGUGAAAGGUACGUUCCGAGCUCCUGGGGCUGAUUUGUUCAAUAUUUAAACAGAUCUUCAGGUAUCUUAGAAUAAACUUGUUACUGGGUUGCAUAGCUUCCUUAGCUUGGGAAUGGAAGGAAGGCAUAAGGUGCUUAUUUGUUAUCCUGGAAAUAAACCGAGCUCUGUAGUAUCAGAAAAAUAGUAAAUGUAACAGUAAUAUAUACAACAAAUCCUGACUAGCAGCAUUAGUUAGAAAUUGUGUUCCUUUGAGAAAUCAGCUAUGAGUUGAUUUUUACCUUAAAAUGAAAUAGAAGCAUAAACAGGAAAGGAGAUGGUCAUCAUUUAUUGUGGUUUCAUAUAAAUAUAUUAAUUUAUGGAGCUGGAUAGCAUGUAUAUCCAUUUAUUGUAAACUGGGAUAUGUUAGUAAAGCAGAACAUGCCUUCUUUUAAGACAUGACGUUGUUACAGUAUCACGGCAUGUUAAAAAUUCUUUUUUUUCUUCAAAACUGUUCAGGUCUUGUACAUUUUUUCCAGUUGUUUCAGACUGGGAGGUGGGAGGUGUAGUGAUGUUACACACGUUAAAAUAGUCAGGUGGAACAUAGUAAAUGAAGAUGUUACAAUUCAUGGUAACAUGACUCAGAAAAACAUACUUAAUACACCAUUGUGUUAUACUGGGAAUGUGUGGUCUAUUAUUGCGUAUUUAGAAGUUUUGUGAGAUGAAUAAUUUAAAUCACAGCGCUUUUGUUUGAAAAGAAAAGAGAAGCAUAUUCCCUGGCCGGAAGCAGACAUGAAAAAGCAGAAUAAGCUGCAUCUCUGCAACCAUUUUCAAGAUGCUGUUGUAUUUUUGCUAAUCUGAUUAGGAAAAAUCUGAGUAGAAGAUCAGCAGACUGAUAUAAAUGUAUUUGGGCUGAGAGAUAAAAGAGUAGGAUUUUCUUCAAAAUUCCCUCAUCUGCCCUUUUCUUUCCACACUGUAAACAAUGCCAUUUUCUUUAGGCAUUUCCAUAUUCUCUUGACCUUCCCUUCAUUAGUAUUUUGUGUCUUCCCAAAAUUUCAGCACAUUUUCUUUUCUUUCACCCUUGAGCUGUACCUGAUUGGAUUUGUGCUUACGUUUGGGGGAAAGUUAUACGUUGUUGGCAAUUUCAGUUCUGUGCUACAUAGUGCAACGAGAAUACGAGGGAAAAACUUAAAAUGUCUAGCAGCAAAAUGGAUGAAGAUUAAACAAAAAAGAAAAUGAUGGGCUAUGCUGAUGCAAUGCUUUCUCUUGCCUUUGAUAUAAGUCUCCCCUUUUGUCAAGUUUUCUGAGCAAAGCUCUUUAAUCAUAAUUUGCUUGUUAAGGUAGAACUUGGUUAUAUUUAAAAUAAUGUUAACAUCUCAACAACUGCUGCUUGCUUCAAUACCAUUUUCGUAUGGGCUUUAGGAUUUCUGAAGAUGUAAAUUCAUUUUGAAAUAAUCCUUAUUGCCUUUGAGGAGAGCGUUUAUUAUAUUUGGCAAUGGCUGUUCUGCAGAAAAUUGGGAAACUAGCCUGAAUCUCUGGAAUGGUUUAUGAUUCAGUCCCACUUCAUGAGUGAGCAUUGCCAAAUGCUUUGUUUCCAGUUUCUACCAUGAAAGUUUUAUAUAUAUGAGUGUGUGUAUAAACAUACCCACAAAUAUUAAAUAUACAUAUAUGAGAUUGUGCAGUAUAUGUAUGUAAAAACAUAUGUAAGUUUGCUUGAUAUUUCUUCCUAGUUGAUUCCGAAAGCUUCAUUCUGUUGAAUUAGAUAAGCUUGAAUAGAGGCACAUUGGGACACUAGUAAUUCUGGAUAUUCCGUUUGAACAGGCAAAGGAGCUUUAUUAAGAAAAGGAGAUAAAAAUGUUGUGCCAUAGCUUUCAGAAAUGUUCUGAGCUUCAAAGGAAAAUAUACUUAUCUGGCUAUUACAAGAUGAGACUGAACUUGUGAUGACAAGCAUGACAACAAAUCAUCACGUUGCUUGCUGUGGCUCAGGUCAGUGUAGUCUUUCUGCAACAAUUUUUCUACGCUACUGCAAUGCAAAUGUACAUCUGAGAGUGCUGUUAUAUUGUAUCCUGGAGCACAUCAAAUCUGCCAGAAAUUAUUCCAGUAUCUACAAGAAAUCGCUUCAUGCUUGUGCAAGUGUUUAAAGGUUAUUAAAAAUUGUCAGUUUCUGAAAGCAUGUUCUACAAUAUUAUCAUUCCUAAUGUUUUCAAAUGUGUAUUCUUUUACAAUGAGUGAUAAUUAAAGAGCAUACAUUAUUAAAUCACAGUAGUAAGAAUGAGCCAAAUUCUGUCACUUCUAUUCACACUAGAAAGAAAAUAACUUGUUUUUGAUGGAAUUUUCAGAGCAGUGGAAAUUUCUAAGGAGUAUCAGUAAAAUUGCAAAGGAAAAGGCUGCAACACCAACAUGGUAAUGACUGUGUUGGUUUUUAACAGUAACUGAAAAUAUUUUUGCUGAAUUUUUUUGUGAUUAUUCCGAGCUAUGUGUAUGUGCUUUUUUCCUUGAUUUAGAGAUUUAAAAUACAGAGCUAGAUAGAUGGUGUAUUACUACUGCACUGCCAGAAAUGCCCACAGAGACUGUCCAAAGAUAGUCUGUGAAACAGCCAUAUGGCCAGGAGCUGAAACAUAUUAAUUGCUGUUCCAGAAUAAUAUGGGUGUAGUACCUCUUCCAUUUGCAGAAUAGUGCAAUGUUACUAAACCACUUGAUUGAAUUUUUCUUCAAAUAUGUUAGAUUGUGUUCUAAGUGGCAUCUCACUUUUGUAGCAUAUAUGUUGCUCUUUUUCCAGUAACAUAGAAAAAUGCAGUCUCAUCUCAUCUACGGCAGCAUGGCUUUAUGCAACGUGACAUUUAGAAAAUUGUGAGAGGUCUUGUUCAUUUCAUUUUAUUGAGGUAGAUAAAUCUUUUUGUUCAUUCUUGGGGAAGCCAAAAUACUGAAAAUAAUGACGAGAGAAAGGCUCCAUGGUUGUUUGUACAUAGAGUAUAUAUUUCAUAAAUUAUUUAACUAAUUGGUAUCUUGGAAAGGUGAGCUCUACUAUGCAUGUAGUAUUGAUAGCUAUGAUUUAGAGGGAGUUAACACCUAUUAUAAUUUUCAAUUCCAUUUCUUCUUUCCUAAAAAAGGGAGUUUUUUACCUUACUCCUCACUAUUGUGUUUUCUUCUUCCACGCUAAAAAAAACCAAACUUUUAAGGCCACUUGAAAGGUGGUAGUGAUCAUAAAAUGCUUACAUAUUUUAAUCUUGAUUUGGUGAAUGAAAAGAAAAUCAUGUCCAUGACCCUUAGAAAUGGUUGACAUGAAUGAUAAAUAAAAUCAAAAAGAGAAAAAUAGGGGCAAUGGGAAAGUUUGCUGCCUAAAAGACAGAAGCUGCUGAGCAGUAAAUCAGCCAUUCAUUUGUGAGAGUUCCAGGCUCAAGAAAUAUUGUAUUGAGUAGUGCAGAAAUUGAGCUAUUUUCCUUCACAUAACGAGUAUGACAUGGAUUCUGGAAAUGUAGGCUUUCUACUCCCUCCAUCCAUCUGUGUUCUACAUCCAUCUGUCAUAUGUAUCCCCGUUUAGAUUGAAAAUGUUCUGGAUUUGUGGCAGUGUUUGUGUUUAGAACCCAACCAACCAAUAGGCUGAAUGCAACAGAAGCUGUGAGACCUACUGAUAUAAUCACUUGGCAGUAGGAGCUCUGCUAUAGGUAGGAGCUCUGCUAUGGGCCAUUUUUGUUAUUGGAGUUGCUAAAUUCUGACAUAUGCUUAUCAUGUUGCGGGUAAGGGAAAAAACAUGGUUGCAGUCUACUGUUCUUAGGACACACCACUUCUGAAUGGAUGGCUGGGAACUGGCAUCUGAGUGAACAGACUGGCAAUACUGCCUAAAAUGCAAAGCUUAAGCUAAUCAAUAAAUAGUUGUUUUUUUUUUUUUUCAGAUGAUGAAACCAAAAGCCUAGUUGUUGCUUGAUAUACUAGAUCUAUAGUUUUUGCUGUGUCUUUAAUUAAUGACAACUGGAUAAUAUAGAAGGAAGAAAAAAGGGGAAAUGAUUUAAAAGCUCCCAGUUGAAAUUUUUUAUUCAGUACCAUCUUGAGUAUUAUCACAGAGAUCAGUACAGUGUGAAUCACCAUCUCUGCUCUGUAACAAGAAAUAAAGAGCCAUUUCACUCAACAGGAUCUGCCAAAAGAGUACUGCUCUAUUCAGUGCUAAUGGAUUGACAGGAGUGCAUAUGCUUCUUCAUCCUUAAAGGUGGAGGAAGAAUAGAGCAACAGCUGUUUAUACGCUUUGUUGUUUGCUCUCUCCGUUUUGAGGUUUCUGUCACUUCUCAGCAGCUUUAUAUAAUUUUUGUUCCUAAGAUUAAGACGAACUGUUGAAAUUAAAAUUACUUUCACUGUGUAUUUCAUAUG